This 376-nucleotide ribosomal RNA is filed under the name uncultured Anoxybacillus sp. RNAcentral's name for it is "bacterial SSU rRNA". It matches the Rfam family "Bacterial small subunit ribosomal RNA", at positions 1008 to 1382 of the family's 1533-position model. Lineage: Bacteria; Bacillati; Bacillota; Bacilli; Caryophanales; Anoxybacillaceae. The record is from RNAcentral.
GGGCGUUCCCCUUCGGGGGACAGGGUGACAGGUGGUGCAUGGUUGUCGUCAGCUCGUGUCGUGAGAUGUUGGGUUAAGUCCCCGCAACCGAGCGCAACCCUCGACCUUAGUUGCCAGCAUUCAGUUGGGCACUCUAAGGUGACUGCCGGCUAAAAGUCGGAGGAAGGUGGGGAUGACGUCAAAUCAUCAUGCCCCUUAUGACCUGGGCUACACACGUGCUACAAUGGGCGGUACAAAGGGUCGCGAACCCGCGAGGGGGAGCCAAUCCCAAAAAGCCGCUCUCAGUUCGGAUUGCAGGCUGCAACUCGCCUGCAUGAAGCCGGAAUCGCUAGUAAUCGCGGAUCAGCAUGCCGCGGUGAAUACGUUCCCGGGCCUU